GAGGGGCAGCAUGGUCUUAGCUUGCUAAGGCCGAUGGCGACCGGCGCACGGGUGAGUAACACGUAUCCAACCUGCCGUCUACUCUUGGACAGCCUUCUGAAAGGAAGAUUAAUACAAGAUGGCAUCAUGAGUCCGCAUGUUCACAUGAUUAAAGGUAUUCCGGUAGACGAUGGGGAUGCGUUCCAUUAGAUAGUAGGCGGGGUAACGGCCCACCUAGUCUUCGAUGGAUAGGGGUUCUGAGAGGAAGGUCCCCCACAUUGGAACUGAGACACGGUCCAAACUCCUACGGGAGGCAGCAGUGAGGAAUAUUGGUCAAUGGGCGAGAGCCUGAACCAGCCAAGUAGCGUGAAGGAUGACUGCCCUAUGGGUUGUAAACUUCUUUUAUAAAGGAAUAAAGUCGGGUAUGUAUACCCGUUUGCAUGUACUUUAUGAAUAAGGAUCGGCUAACUCCGUGCCAGCAGCCGCGGUAAUACGGAGGAUCCGAGCGUUAUCCGGAUUUAUUGGGUUUAAAGGGAGCGUAGAUGGAUGUUUAAGUCAGUUGUGAAAGUUUGCGGCUCAACCGUAAAAUUGCAGUUGAUACUGGAUAUCUUGAGUGCAGUUGAGGCAGGCGGAAUUCGUGGUGUAGCCGGUAAAU
Molecule: ribosomal RNA, 634 nt
Filed under: uncultured Bacteroides sp.
Lineage: Bacteria; Pseudomonadati; Bacteroidota; Bacteroidia; Bacteroidales; Bacteroidaceae
Description: bacterial SSU rRNA
Rfam family: Bacterial small subunit ribosomal RNA
Source: RNAcentral